Molecule: ribosomal RNA, 926 nt
Filed under: Russula pulchra
Lineage: Eukaryota; Fungi; Basidiomycota; Agaricomycetes; Russulales; Russulaceae
Description: LSU rRNA
Rfam family: Eukaryotic large subunit ribosomal RNA
Source: RNAcentral
UACAUAUCAAUAAGCGGAGGAAAAGAAACUAACAAGGAUUCCCCUAGUAACUGCGAGUGAAGCGGGAAAAGCUCAAAUUUAAAAUCUGGUGGCUUUGGUCAUCCGAGUUGUAAUUUAGAGAAGCGUCUUCCGCGCUGGACCGUGCACAAGUCUCCUGGAAUGGAGCGUCAUAGAGGGUGAGAAUCCCGUCUUUGGCACGGACGCACCAGGGCUUCUGUGAUGCGCUCUCGAAGAGUCGAGUUGUUUGGGAAUGCAGCUCAAAAUGGGUGGUGAACUCCAUCUAAAGCUAAAUAUUGGCGAGAGACCGAUAGCGAACAAGUACCGUGAGGGAAAGAUGAAAAGCACUUUGGAAAGAGAGUGAAACAGUACGUGAAAUUGUUGAAAGGGAAACGCUUGAAGUCAGUCGCGUCGACCGAGACUCAGCCUUGCCUCGGCUUGGUGUACUUCUCGGCUGACGGGUCAGCAUCAAUUUUGCCCCUCGGAUAAUGGCGAGGGAAAUGUGGCACCCUUGCGGGUGUGUUAUAGUCCUUUGUCGCAUGCGAGGGUUGGGAUUGAGGAACUCAGCACGCGCCUUUUGGYGUCGGGGCUCUGCCCACGAUACGUGCUUAGGAUGUUGGCGUAAUGGCUUUAAACGACCCGUCUUGAAACACGGACCAAGGAGUCUAACAUGCCCGCGAGUGUUCGGGUGGAAAACCCGUGCGCGCAAUGAAAGUGAAAGUUGGGACCUCUGUCGUGGAGGGCACCGACGCCCGGACCAGACCUUYUGUGACGGAUCUGCGGUGGAGCGUGUAUGUUAGGACCCGAAAGAUGGUGAACUAUGCCUGAAUAGGGUGAAGCCAGAGGAAACUCUGGUGGAGGCUCGUAGCGAUUCUGACGUGCAAAUCGAUCGUCAAAUUUGGGUAUAGGGGCGAAAGACUAAUCGAUCC